RNAcentral lists this ribosomal RNA (484 nucleotides) under uncultured bacterium. RNAcentral's name for it is "partial 16S ribosomal RNA". It matches the Rfam family "Bacterial small subunit ribosomal RNA", at positions 30 to 507 of the family's 1533-position model. The record is from RNAcentral.
AUUGAACGCUGGCGGCAGGCCUAACACAUGCAAGUCGAGCGGAUGAAGGGAGCUUGCUCCUGGCUUCAGCGGCGGACGGGUGAGUAAUGCCUAGGAAUCUGCCUGGUAGUGGGGGAUAACGUCCGGAAACGGGCGCUAAUACCGCAUAAGUCCUGAGGGAGAAAGUGGGGGAUCUUAGGACCUCACGCUAUCAGAUGAGCCUAGGUCGGAUUAGCUAGUUGGUGGGGUAAAGGCCUACCAAGGCGACGAUCCGUAACUGGUCUGAGAGGAUGAUCAGUCACACUGGAACUGAGACACGGUCCAGACUCCUACGGGAGGCAGCAGUGGGGAAUAUUGGACAAUGGGCGAAAGCCUGAUCCAGCCAUGCCGCGUGUGUGAAGAAGGUCUUCGGAUUGUAAAGCACUUUAAGUUGGGAGGAAGGGCAGUAAGUUAAUACCUUGCUGUUUUGACGUUACCAACAGAAUAAGCACCGGCUAACUUCGUG